GUUUUCCCUUUGGGGGAAUUUUCCGCAAUGGGCGAAAGCCUGACGGAGCAAUACCGCGUGAGGGAGGAAGGCUCUUGGGUCGUAAACCUCUUUUCUCAAGGAAGAAGAAAGUGACGGUACUUGAGGAAUCAGCAUCGGCUAACUCCGUGCCAGCAGCCGCGGUAAUACGGAGGAUGCAAGCGUUAUCCGGAAUGAUUGGGCGUAAAGCGUCCGCAGGUGGCAGUGUGUGUCUGCUGUUAAAGAGUCUAGCUCAACUAGAUAAAAGCAGUGGAAACUACACAGCUAGAGUACGUUCGGGGCAGAGGGAAUUCCUGGUGUAGCGGUGAAAUGCGUAGAGAUCAGGAAGAACACCGGUGGCGAAAGCGCUCUGCUAGGCCGUAACUGACACUGAGGACGAAAAGGU
Molecule: ribosomal RNA, 403 nt
Filed under: Nostoc punctiforme VB511287
Lineage: Bacteria; Bacillati; Cyanobacteriota; Cyanophyceae; Nostocales; Nostocaceae
Description: bacterial SSU rRNA
Rfam family: Bacterial small subunit ribosomal RNA
Source: RNAcentral